CACGUAGGGCGCAAGCGUUGUCCGGAAUUAUUGGGCGUAAAGAGCUCGUAGGCGGUCUGUUGCGUCUGCUGUGAAAACCCGGGGCUUAACCCCGAGCCUGCAGUGGAUACGGGCAGACUAGAGGUAGGUAGGGGAGAAUGGAAUUCCCGGUGUAGCGGUGAAAUGCGCAGAUAUCGGGAGGAACACCGGUGGCGAAGGCGGUUCUCUGGGCCUUACCUGACGCUGAGGAGCGAAAGCGUGGGGAGCGAACAGG
This 253-nucleotide ribosomal RNA is filed under the name uncultured bacterium. Its description in RNAcentral is "partial 16S ribosomal RNA". It matches the Rfam family "Bacterial small subunit ribosomal RNA", at positions 524 to 776 of the family's 1533-position model. The record is from RNAcentral.